Unclassified non-coding RNA from Dipodomys ordii (Ord's kangaroo rat), 318 nucleotides. Its record names the gene 7SK. It matches the Rfam family "7SK RNA". From Rfam's summary of the family: 7SK was discovered as an abundant small nuclear RNA in the mid-70s but a possible function has only recently been suggested. Two independent studies have found that 7SK RNA binds the CDK9/cyclin T complex (known as elongation factor P-TEFb). The record is from Ensembl. NCBI's taxonomy places the organism in Eukaryota, Metazoa, Chordata, Mammalia, Rodentia, Heteromyidae.
GGACUGCAGCAUCUGUCACCCGGCUGAUCACUGGGGUUGAUUGGGCUGACCUGUUCGCUAGGCAAGUGUCCUCUUCCUCCCUCGCCGCUCCAUGUGCUACCUUCCCAAAGCUGCAGGCUCGCUCGAAGAGGACCAUCAUCCCGGAUAGAACAGGACCGGUCUUUGGUCAAGGCUACACAAGUAGCUCUGCUCCCCGACUAGAACCUCCAAACAAAUUCUCAAGGUCCUGCAAUUUUUUUUAUAAAAUUAAAACAUUUGGGGAUACACAAGGCAUAAUUUGACAUUUGUUUAAAUGUUCAAGGUAUUAUAAAAUUUGUU